This 92-nucleotide microRNA precursor is filed under the name Oryza sativa Indica Group (long-grained rice). RNAcentral describes it as "mir-166 microRNA precursor". The record is from RNAcentral. Lineage: Eukaryota; Viridiplantae; Streptophyta; Magnoliopsida; Poales; Poaceae.
AUUUGUUAAAAUUGACAAACAUAUAACAAUAUUAGUUUAUUACCAAAUAUUGGUCAUAGAUAGAGAUUUUGACAACAUCAUAUUUAGCCAAU